GAUUGAACGCGUGGCGGCGUGCCUAAUACAUGCAAGUCGAGCGGAACGGACGAGAAGCUUGCUUCUCUGAUGUUAGCGGCGGACGGGUGAGUAACACGUGGAUAACCUACCUAUAAGACUGGGAUAACUUCGGGAAACCGGAGCUAAUACCGGAUAAUAUUUUGAACCGCAUGGUUCAAAAGUGAAAGACGGUCUUGCUGUCACUUAUAGAUGGAUCCGCGCUGCAUUAGCUAGUUGGUAAGGUAACGGCUUACCAAGGCAACGAUGCAUAGCCGACCUGAGAGGGUGAUCGGCCACACUGGAACUGAGACACGGUCCAG
This 320-nucleotide ribosomal RNA is filed under the name uncultured bacterium. RNAcentral describes it as "bacterial SSU rRNA". It matches the Rfam family "Bacterial small subunit ribosomal RNA", at positions 27 to 334 of the family's 1533-position model. The record is from RNAcentral.